AUCAAAGGAACUAAGGGCGCACAGUGGAUGCCUUGGCACUAAGAGCCGAUGAAGGACGCAAUUAACGGCGAAACGCCACGGGAAGCUGUAAAUAAGUGAAGAUCCGUGGGUCUCCGAAUGGGAAAACCCAUUACAUUGAAGAUGUAAUAUUCUUCUAAUGCGAUUUAUCUUGUUAGAAGAAAGGAAACGCGGCGAACUGAAAUAUCUAAGUAACCGCAGGAAAAGAAAGUAAUAACGAACCCGGAACAGCCUGAUACCAUUUCUAGUUACAAAAUUUUAACGAAGUAGAAGCU
Molecule: ribosomal RNA, 293 nt
Filed under: Phytoplasma sp.
Lineage: Bacteria; Bacillati; Mycoplasmatota; Mollicutes; Acholeplasmatales; Acholeplasmataceae
Description: Candidatus Phytoplasma sp. partial 23S ribosomal RNA
Rfam family: Bacterial large subunit ribosomal RNA
Source: RNAcentral